GCCGGUUUAGCUCAGCUGGUAGAGCAACCGCCUUGUAAGCGGUAGGUCGGGGGUUCGACUCCCUCAACCGGCACCA
This 76-nucleotide transfer RNA is filed under the name Hyphomicrobiales bacterium. Its description in RNAcentral is "tRNA-Thr". It matches the Rfam family "tRNA". Rfam says of the family: Transfer RNA (tRNA) molecules are approximately 80 nucleotides in length. Lineage: Bacteria; Pseudomonadati; Pseudomonadota; Alphaproteobacteria; Hyphomicrobiales. The record is from RNAcentral.